GAUGAACGCUGGCGGCGUGCCUAAUACAUGCAAGUAGAACGCUGAAGGAGGAGCUUGCUCUUCUGGAUGAGUUGCGAACGGGUGAGUAACGCGUAGGUAACCUGCCUGGUAGCGGGGGAUAACUAUUGGAAACGAUAGCUAAUACCGCAUGACAACAGUUAUUGCAUGAUAACUGUUUAAAAGGGGCAACUGCUCCACUACCAGAUGGACCUGCGUUGUAUUAGCUAGUUGGUGAGGUAACGGCUCACCAAGGCGACGAUACAUAGCCGACCUGAGAGGGUGAUCGGCCACACUGGGACUGAGACACGGCCCAGACUCCUACGGGAGGCAGCAGUAGGGAAUCUUCGGCAAUGGACGGAAGGCUGACCGAGCAACGCCGCGGGAGUGAAGAAGGUUUUCGGAUCGUAAAGCUCUGUUGUAAGAGAAGAACGAGUGUGGGAGUGGAAAGUUCACACUGUGACGGUAUCUUACCAGAAAGGGACGGCUAACUACGUG
RNAcentral lists this ribosomal RNA (495 nucleotides) under uncultured bacterium. RNAcentral describes it as "partial 16S ribosomal RNA". It matches the Rfam family "Bacterial small subunit ribosomal RNA", at positions 28 to 507 of the family's 1533-position model. The record is from RNAcentral.